This 379-nucleotide ribosomal RNA is filed under the name uncultured bacterium. Its description in RNAcentral is "partial 16S ribosomal RNA". It matches the Rfam family "Bacterial small subunit ribosomal RNA", at positions 338 to 734 of the family's 1533-position model. The record is from RNAcentral.
CCUACGGGUGGCAGCAGUGGGGAAUAUUGCACAAUGAGCGAAACCCUGAUGCAGCGACGCCGCGUGAGCGAUGAAGGAUUUCGGUAUGUAAAGCUCUAUCAGCAGGGAAGAAAAUGACGGUACGUGACUAAGAAGCCCCAGCUAACUACGUGCCAGCAGCCGCGGUGAUACGUAGGGGGCAAGCGUUCGCCGGAUGUACUGGGGGGAAAGGGAGCGUAGACGGUCCUGCAAGACAGAUGCGAAAGCCCGGGGCUCAAACCCGGGACUGCAUUUGGGACUGGAAGACUGGAGUGUCGGAGAGGCAGGCGGAAGUCCUAGGGUAGCGGUGAAAUGCGUAGAUAUUAGGAGGAACACCAGAGGCGAAGGCGGCCUGCUGGGC